GAGAUUAUUGGGCCUAAGCAUCCGCUAGCCGGCUCUGUAAGUCCUCGGUUAAAUCUGUACGCUUAACGUACAGGCUGCCGGGAAUACUGCAUAGCUAGGGAGUGGGAGAGGUAGACGGUACUCGGUAGGAAGGGGUAAAAUCCUUUGAUCUAUUGAUGACCACCUGUGGCGAAGGCGGUCUACCAGAACACGUCCGACGGUGAGGGAUGAAAGCUGGGGGAGCAAACCGGAUUAGAUACCCGGGUAGUCCCAGCUGUAAACUAUGCAAACUCAGUGAUGCAUUGGCUUGUGGCCAAUGCAGUGCUGCAGGGAAGCCGUUAAGUUUGCCGCCUGGGAAGUACGUACGCAAGUAUGAAACUUAAAGGAAUUGGCGGGGGAGCACAA
This 384-nucleotide ribosomal RNA is filed under the name uncultured archaeon. RNAcentral describes it as "bacterial SSU rRNA". It matches the Rfam family "Archaeal small subunit ribosomal RNA", at positions 497 to 881 of the family's 1478-position model. The record is from RNAcentral.